AUUAGAUAAAGACCUCCUAAUACUCUUCGAAAAUCUCACCAGCCUUCGUUAGAGUCGACUUAGCUAACUAUCGUUACGCUUGCGUCUAUCUGCCUAGUCUGAUUUCGAUUUUCAUUGAGUACCCUUUAUUUAAUGAAAUCCCAAACUUUUCUUUUUCAUCAUAAUCUCCUAAAGAAGUCACCCAAUCAGGUGGCUUUUUU
Molecule: unclassified non-coding RNA, 200 nt
Filed under: Streptococcus oralis Uo5
Lineage: Bacteria; Bacillati; Bacillota; Bacilli; Lactobacillales; Streptococcaceae
Description: csRNA6
Rfam family: Cia-dependent small RNA csRNA1 (bases 114-200)
Source: RNAcentral